ACUCUCUCUCUGUCUCUCUCUAUCGUUCUUUGUGCCUUGUUUUGGUUUUGCGAUUGGGUUUUUUGUUAACGAACGAAGUUUUGUGAAAAAAUGGGUGUUGGAAUUACAGAGUUUUUAUGGAAGAAUGAGCUAGCAGCUGAACAUCCUCAGGUGAUACCAAUCUCAGUCUUCAUAGCUAUUCUCUGUCUCUGUUUAGUUAUCGGCCACUUGCUUGAAGAGAAUCGAUGGGUCAAUGAAUCCAUUACCGCCAUUUUAGUCGGAGCAGUAUCAGGAACAGUGAUUUUGCUUAUUAGUAAAGGAAAAAGUUCUCACAUUUUGGUGUUUGAUGAAGAACUCUUCUUCAUUUACCUUCUUCCUCCUAUUAUUUUCAAUGCUGGAUUCCAAGUCAAGAAAAAGAAGUUUUUUCACAACUUUUUAACCAUCAUGUCCUUUGGGGUGAUUGGUGUUUUCAUCUCUACUGUCAUUAUUUCCUUUGGGACUUGGUGGCUGUUUCCCAAGUUGGGAUUUAAGGGGUUGAGUGCUAGAGACUAUCUAGCCAUUGGAACGAUCUUCUCGUCCACUGAUACUGUUUGCACUCUACAGAUUCUUCAUCAAGAUGAAACACCAUUGCUAUACAGUUUAGUCUUUGGAGAAGGAGUGGUGAAUGAUGCAACUUCAGUUGUACUGUUCAAUGCCGUGCAAAAGAUUCACUUUGAAAGCCUCAACGGUUGGACUGCUCUGCAAGUGUUUGGAAACUUUUUGUACCUCUUCUCCACUAGCACAAUUCUCGGAAUUGCUGUGGGGCUAAUAACAGCUUUUGUCCUUAAAACCUUGUAUUUUGGAAGACAUUCAACAACACGCGAACUGGCCAUCAUGGUUCUAAUGGCUUACCUUUCAUAUAUGUUGGCUGAGCUCUUCUCAUUAAGCGGAAUUCUCACUGUUUUCUUCUGUGGUGUUUUAAUGUCGCAUUAUGCAUCAUAUAAUGUGACAGAGAGUUCAAGAAUCACUUCCAGGCAUGUUUUUGCGAUGAUGUCCUUUAUUGCGGAGACAUUCAUAUUUUUGUAUGUUGGAACAGAUGCUCUUGAUGUUACAAAGUGGAAGACAAGCAGCUUAAGUGUUGGGGGUACUCUGGGUGUCUCUAGUGUCAUAACCGCAUUCGUAUUACUUGGACGAGCAGCAUUUGUGUUCCCGCUCUCAGUCUUAACAAAUUUCAUGAAUAGACACACUGAAAGAAACGAGUCUAUCACAUUUAAGCACCAGGUGAUCAUUUGGUGGGCGGGGCUUAUGCGGGGUGCUGUCUCAAUCGCUCUGGCUUUCAAGCAGUUCACAUACUCCGGAGUUACGUUGGAUCCUGUGAAUGCUGCCAUGGUCACCAACACCACUAUUGUUGUCCUCUUUACCACACUGGUCUUUGGUUUCCUCACAAAGCCACUUGUGAACUAUCUGCUUCCUCAUGAUGCAAGUCACAACAACACGGGAAAUAGAGGUAAACGCACUGAGCCAGGUUCCCCGAAGGAAGAUGCGACACUUCCUCUUCUUUCGUUUGACGAGUCCGCUUCCACAAACUUCAAUAGAGCUAAAGAUAGUAUCUCCCUUCUGAUGGAACAACCUGUCUACACCAUCCACCGCUACUGGAGAAAGUUCGAUGACAAAUACAUGAGGCCUAUCUUCGGUGGACCUCGUCGAGAAAACCAACCAGAAUGCUAGAUCAGUUGCAGGACAAGAUCAAGCAAACUCAGACGGUCUAUCUCCUACUCAGUUCUUUGAAGCUGCGUUUACAGAAAGAAGAACAAAAUAAACGGAUUGUUGUAACGCCACAUUUGCUCAGAAGAUCCUGUACUUUAGACGGGUAUACCCCUAAAACGGGGAGGUAAGACUUGGAUCUGCA
Molecule: non-coding RNA, 1867 nt
Organism: Camelina sativa (false flax)
Lineage: Eukaryota; Viridiplantae; Streptophyta; Magnoliopsida; Brassicales; Brassicaceae
Source: RefSeq, a predicted model, not a curated record